This is a long non-coding RNA of Brassica rapa (field mustard), 2770 nucleotides long. RefSeq lists it as uncharacterized. Lineage: Eukaryota; Viridiplantae; Streptophyta; Magnoliopsida; Brassicales; Brassicaceae. The record is from RefSeq and is a predicted model, not a curated record.
GUUUUAAUCCCUCCCAUGAAGCCACCUCAGAUGACAGCAUGGAAAUUCGUUUAAUGUCGUGUUGACAUGUGUCCCGUACGGACGAAACUCAGCGUUUCAUUUAAAUGUGUAUUGUCGUGGGCUUUCUUUGUUUGGUGCAUGUUGGGCUCUGGUUUUGCCAUCCGGCCCGAGAAGAUUGGAAUCGCAUUUUAACGAGACUUCUCUUUGGCGGAACUUGACCGAGUUUAGGGUUCGUCUCUUCGCUUUGAUCUGCAGCGACUUCUGAUCUUCCUCUGUAUAGCUGAAACGGUUUCAGUUAUGUCUCUUCACAUUUAAUCCCUUCUUAAUUCGAAACCUUGAAUGUGAUCUUUUUCUUCGGCGAGUCAGUAUAUCGAAGAGUAUAAAGGGACAACAACAAUGGAGUUUCAACGAUUGACUCAAAUUGUUGUGGAGAGUCUCUUCGUGGCUUCUAGCGGUAAGAGGGCUUUGCGGCGUACCGGGUCGAACUUUUAAAGUUCACUGAGAAGGGAUAUGACAGAGGAGAGAGAUGAAAGUGCUUGAAGUAGCAGUUGGUGACGAUUGGUUGUCUCCACCGCCGAAGAUUGUCUUCGAUAAAAGAAAAAAAUCCAUGGAAGAUUCUACUAUUAAAGCUUUGAGAACAGGAGAGAGACCAUGAUCAAGGAGAGAAUCAGAAACUGAGUCUAUAUCAAGCCUUUAGUCUAACGACCCUCCUUGCAGAUUAUCUGCUUCUGAUAGCUUACAAAGGUACACAUAUCUCCCAACACCAUCUUAUGUACACACAAAAAAAAAUCUCUACUCUGUUUGGUGUUCACUAUCUGAGUCACCCUUUGCUUAUAGUUAAAUGUAUGAUUAAUAAGAAGGCCAGUUUCUGCAUCCCAAGGAUUGGGUGACUCAUCAUCAUCAUUCCCUUACUUUCUUGAACUAAAAUGUUUCAUGAUAUCUCAUACUAAAGACUGUUGCAGAUAGAAUAAGCGGGUCUGUUCGAAUGCACAUAGUGGCUUUGAUAGUUUCUGCCUUUGAUUUAUCUUCCCUUAAGUGUCGUUACUGUGCUUCAGUGUCAACUUAUAUCGUUUGGGGACACUCAGAUCUCUUUAUUUCCAUUCACGUUCUUAGUAAGACCUUAUUGUGUCUAAUUUAUGAGCUUCUUACUGAGACUUUUCUGGACUUUAAGCUACUGAUGAAUCUCAUGUGUAUUUGUGCUUCUAUAAUUGGAUCGGUAUUACAUUGGCCUUUAACGAAUCGUAAUUCACAAUGUGAACAUACAUACGUUUGUGAACGUACCUACAUACGAAUUGUGAAGCAUUCAUAGUCUUCUCUAUUAUUCCAGCCUCCACAAUAAGACUUUCUCAAGUAAUGAAGUGUUACGUUCUUCUUUUUGCAGCUACAUACGUUUGAGUUGCUAUUAUAGUUAAUGUGCACAUUAAGAUAAUGCAGAGAUGAAUGUCUGAAUCUCAGUUUUCAGUUGCAAAAGCUGAGGAAGAUAAUGAUGAAAAGCAUAAACCAUCAACUCAGGCUCUCAGCUAUCAUAAUGUUUCUCAGGUCUUUCUCUGACUUUCUCUUUCUCUAUAUUUCUAAUUGUCCCAAAAAUUUUAGGUAAGAUAGACAAUGCUAUUCAUUCACUAAUUUUCCUGGUGCAUCUUUGAAGCAUCUUCUGAACACAUGUGUCCUUAUAUACAACUACAGUGUUUAUUCUAAUGAUGGUCCUAAGCGAACAUACUUUAUUCUGGGAUUACAAAACUUGAUUUCCUAAAAUAUAUCUUCACUCUAAACUUGUGAAGAGUAUCACUCUAAACAACAUAUUUUAUUUAUCUGCGUAGUACAUGGGAUUUCCGUUACGUCUGGUUUCAAUCGCUCUCUCUCUCUAUGUGAUCUAGCAUAUAUGUAUCGUAGCUGUAAUGUAUUGUAUGAUCUCUCAAAUAUUUCUGUAGUAAUGGACUUCACAUAUGGAAAAUAAUGCUGUUAUUAGUUGAGAACAUGUUAGUGUAAAUUUGGUUUCACCUGUUGACUUCAUUAACUGGUCUAACUAUUUUUAUUUGGUUUCAGUCUCAAUCCGUUCAUUCAUAGCAGGAAUUCAGAGUAGUUAUACCAAGACCUAAGCUUUUACCAGGCUUGCAUGUUCGAAGCACCUAUGGUUACAGCCAUAAAUGGUUCUUCCUCGAAACAGCUCUGUGGUAACAAUGCAGCCAGUAUCCGCAAUGUGUGAUUGGCAAGUUUGGGCAUACCUGCAAAUUUGUUCUUUCCAUGAGCUCUUAUUCUUCUUCCUUAAGCUACAGCCCGAUGGUUUCUUCAGUCAUUGACAUGCCCCUCACACCUUACCCUCUUGAGUCCUCAUUGCUCAGCACAUUAGCACCCUCUUGAGUCCUCAUUGCUCAGCACAUUAGCUCCAUCAUCAUCAUCCUCAGAUGAAAACGCACAGAGCUUCACUCUUCGAGCUCCAAGAAAACUCAAAACCACAACACAAGUGGUGGCUCUGAACCGUUGCUGCUGAAGUAUCUCCGUCUUCUUCUUUGACAACCAGCCUGAGCCAUUCUGAUCCUGCUGAGACCAAAAAGAAUACCCAGUUAGCAUUGAGUUUAAGACUUAGAAGCCAAAGAUACAAAGCUCAAAGGGGAGAACCUCACUCUACUUCUUCUAUUGUUCCUCUAUCGCUCUUUUCUUUUUAUCAAACUUGCAUGAACUGAGGACAUGAAAGAUGUCUAUAAACUAUAAACAUGUUUGGGACCAAGUAAGAUAGAUUGAACUAUAAUGAGUUUUUUUUAAUAUAUGAAAA